GCUUUAUCCUGUUGAUGCAGUUUCUAAUAAUGUUGGUAGAUCACUAACCCCAGCGUGGACAACACAUGUUGUUUUUUCAUGUUUUCUACAAAUAAUGCAUUGACAGACAAGCCAUGGGUAAUCUUCAGGUUAAUUGCAGCAACUUGGGACUUGGGAGAAGUCCUGUGAAAAGACACAGGGCACAUGACCAGAUUUGUAUUUUUUUGAAUGUUUUAUUCAAGUAGUAGUUAGUUGGAACCCUAACUCAAACUGUCAAACACAGACAACACAUUGCUGCUGCCUUACGGCCACAGGCAGGAAAAUGAUUCUUUUCUUCAGAAAAUUGUAAGUUGUAUUUGUAGUCUUAAACCCCCCAUACUUUUUGUUACUAUUAUAGAUUUUUAUGUUGAAAAAGUUACGGAAAAUGAUCGGAAAUAGCCGAGUUAAUAAUUUGUGUGUUGUCUCAUAGGGAAAACAGCUUUGAUUGAUUUUCUUUGAUUUCCGAAAGCUAUUUGCCUAUUUGAGUAAUCUGGUAUUCAUCCUCACUUGAUUCAUUUCGUGCCAGUAGUGAAAGGCGUGAAGAAUUCAAGUUUAGCUGCUGCGUGCUGUUAGCAAGCAAGCAAUCCAAUUGAUGUCCACCAGGUGGCGCGAAUGUCUUCAAGGCCCAAAUUCGGCCAUUUUGUUCCUUGACGCAGCAGAAGUGAGAUGCCGGUCGUGACGUUUACCAAAAUGAAAAGGUGAUUGAUCUUACCAUUUUGCCGUCUGAAUUGAAAAUGCCUGUACAUUUACCGAAUUGUCGUGCCUCGUGU
This 788-nucleotide long non-coding RNA is filed under the name Daphnia pulicaria. Its description in RNAcentral is "uncharacterized LOC124343843, transcript variant X2". The record is from RNAcentral. Lineage: Eukaryota; Metazoa; Arthropoda; Branchiopoda; Diplostraca; Daphniidae.